GAUUUCUGGUAUGAUUUAUCUGUCCCGCCACGGUUAACGUGUGUGAGUGACGGUAUAGAUCUGCCAUCCUUCUAGAGAAUGCAAUAUUAGCCUUUAUUGGUUUUGAUAUUGUAUCAUCUAGAUCUUUUACUUUGAAAAAAUUAGAGUGUUUCAAGCAGGCGUUUUGCUAUGAAUACAUUAGCAUGGAAUAAUAAGUUAGGACUUCGGUUCUAUUUUGUUGGUUUCUAGAGCUGAAGUAAUGAUUGAUAGGGAUAGUUGGGGGUGCUAGUAUUCAGCGGCCAGAGGUGAAAUUCUUGGAUUCGCUGAAGACUAACUUAUGCGAAAGCAUU
Molecule: ribosomal RNA, 329 nt
Filed under: Allapsidae sp.
Lineage: Eukaryota; Cercozoa; Glissomonadida; Viridiraptoridae
Description: SSU rRNA
Rfam family: Eukaryotic small subunit ribosomal RNA (bases 115-329)
Source: RNAcentral